GUCUUCUUGGAUUUUGUUGGUCUUCAAGUGAUGAUUUCAUUAUUGAUCUAAAGAUGAAGCCUUCAUAACUUCAUACUUUCUGUUUUUAGCUCUCACACAUUCAAGAACACACAAGGUGAAUGUGAUUCUGGAUGCUGAUACGGCUCAUCCACGUCUCAUCGUGUCUGAAGAUGGGAAACAAGUGAGAUAUGAAAACAGAGAAACAGAAAGAGUGAAUGGAGAAACAUACAUAUUUGAUGAAUAUCGUGGUGUUCUUGGGAAGGAUGGAUUCUCCUCGGGGUGUUUUUACUUUGAGGUGCAGGUGAUGGGACAAACUUGGUGGGAUUUAGGAGUGACCAGAGAAUCUGUGAACAGGAAGGGUUUGUUCAGUCUGAAUCCUGAGGAUGGAUACUGGUCUGUGGGUCUAUUUAUUGGGGAGUAUCGAGCUUAUGAGUCUUCAUAUGUCUCUAUUUCGCUGAGUGUGAAGCCUCAGAGGGUCGGUGUGUUUGUGAAUUAUGAGAAGGGUCUCGUCUCCUUUUAUGAUGUGGAGUCCAUGUCUCAUAUCUACUCUUACACUAAUCAGUCUUUUAAUAAGAAACUCUAUACAUUUGUUGGUUUGGGGUAUGGGUGGAAUAAAAACCCCACACCACUGAUUAUCUGUGAUGAUUACUAAUGAGAUCAGUGACUGAAUUUACAUGAUCCACUGAAAUAAACCAAAAUACAAUUUAAAAAGUGUAACAGCAACAAAUAUUAAAUAUUAUUUGCACUUCCAGUCAAAAAUAUGGCCACACAAGGGUGAUUUUAUGUUUUCUGUGAUCUUAAAAUGUUUUGGUUUUAAGACUUCUGCUUUAAAUGUCUGAAAUGACUUUUUUAUAUAUAUUAAUAUAAAUAAUGCCUAUAUAUAUAUACAUAUGAAUUUCUUUAUAAGACAGAGGCUUUACUUUAUGAUGAAUAAUGUUUUGAUCUGGAGCAGAUGAUGAAUGAAAAGCAUCAUGAAGAGCUCAUCAUGCAGUUAACUGUUUCUCCUUCAGCACUGUUUGCUGUCGGUUGAUGAAUGUUUUUAUUUAUUUUUUUUUUUUUUAUUAUUAUUAUUAAUUUGAUUUCUCAUUGAUUUUGUAUUUAACUGAAUUUCUGUGUCUUUCCAACCCAGUUUUAAAUGUUCUGUUAUUUGUAUGUUUGAGCUUCUCUGAACAAAACUGAUUUUGAGUGCCAAGCUCCUAAAAGGACUGAUACAUAUAUUUACCCAGUUUUGUGUACCCUGUGGUUUUGUUAUUUGGACUUUUAGGUUACAUUCUGCCCUGUUUUGUUCCUGUUUCCUGUUCUGUUUGUAGUCCUUUUGUAGUUUUUCUUAUUGAGUAGUUAUUAUUAGUAGAAUUAUUGUUUGUGUAAUAAAUACUACUCUCCUUC
Molecule: long non-coding RNA, 1386 nt
Organism: Cyprinus carpio (common carp)
Lineage: Eukaryota; Metazoa; Chordata; Actinopteri; Cypriniformes; Cyprinidae
Exons: 2
Source: RefSeq, a predicted model, not a curated record